This 556-nucleotide ribosomal RNA is filed under the name Sordariales sp. AP-2012. RNAcentral describes it as "eukaryotic LSU rRNA". The stretch from base 192 to 345 matches the Rfam family "5.8S ribosomal RNA". Lineage: Eukaryota; Fungi; Ascomycota; Sordariomycetes; Sordariales. The record is from RNAcentral.
UUGGUGACCAGCGGAGGGAUCAUUACAGAGUUGCAAAACUCCCUAAACCAUCGUGAACGCUACCUAAACCGUUGCUUCGGCGGGCGGCGCCCUCGCGCGCCCCUGGGCCCGCACCGCGGGCGCCCGCCGGAGGUACACCAAACUCUUGAUACGUUAUGGCCACUCUGAGUCUUCUGUACUGAAUAAGUCAAAACUUUCAACAACGGAUCUCUUGGUUCUGGCAUCGAUGAAGAACGCAGCGAAAUGCGAUAAGUAAUGUGAAUUGCAGAAUUCAGUGAAUCAUCGAAUCUUUGAACGCACAUUGCGCCCGCCAGCAUCCUGGCGGGCAUGCCUGUUCGAGCGUCAUUUCAACCCAUCAAGCCCACGGCUUGUGUUGGGGACCUGCGGCUGCCCGCAGGCCCUGAAAACCAGUGGCGGGCUCGCUAGUCACACCGAGCGUAGUAGCAUACGACCUCGCUCAGGGCGUGCUGCGGGUUCCAGCCGUAAAACGACCUUCGUAACCCAAGGUUGACCUCGGAUCAGGUAGGAGGACCCGCUGAACUUAAGCAUAUCAAUA